RNAcentral lists this ribosomal RNA (434 nucleotides) under uncultured bacterium. Its description in RNAcentral is "partial 16S ribosomal RNA". It matches the Rfam family "Bacterial small subunit ribosomal RNA", at positions 341 to 792 of the family's 1533-position model. The record is from RNAcentral. RNAcentral also lists the same sequence under 1 other name.
ACGGGAGGCAGCAGUGGGGAAUAUUGCACAAUGGGGGAAACCCUGAUGCAGCGACGCCGCGUGAGCGAAGAAGUAUUUCGGUAUGUAAAGCUCUAUCAGCAGGGAAGAAAAUGACGGUACCUGACUAAGAAGCUCCGGCUAAAUACGUGCCAGCAGCCGCGGUAAUACGUAUGGAGCAAGCGUUAUCCGGAUUUACUGGGUGUAAAGGGAGCGUAGACGGAACAGCAAGUCUGAUGUGAAAGGCGGGGGCUCAACUCCUGGACUGCAUUGGAAACUGCUGAUCUUGAGUGUCGGAGAGGUAAGCGGAAUUCCUAGUGUAGCGGUGAAAUGCGUAGAUAUUAGGAGGAACACCAGUGGCGAAGGCGGCUUACUGGACGAUCACUGACGUUGAGGCUCGAAAGCGUGGGGAGCAAACAGGAUUAGAUACCCUGGUA